GGAGUAAGAGCCCAGGAAGGGUGAAGAGAUCAUCCGUGUGGAGGGGCCACCCAGUGUGGCAUACAGAGCCUGAGGAGGGCGUCCACGCAUGGGGCUAGCCUGGCACAGGUGUUAGAACCUAGAAGGUCAGCCUGGGCAACAUAAUGAGACCUCAUCUCUGCAAACAAAUAUAAAUAAAUUAAACAAAAAUAAAUAAAUAAGCUGGGCAUGGUGGCUUGCACCUGUGGUCCCAGCUACUUGGGAGGCUGAGGUAGGAGGAUCGUUUGAGCCAGGGAGGUCGUUGCAGUGAGCCUUGAUGGCACCACUCCACUCCAGCCUGGGCGACAGAGCGAGAUCCUAUCUCAAAAAAACAGGACCCUAGAAGGUCAAGAAUGGUGUCUGCAAGCAGGGUGUAUAGGGCAUCCACACAGGAUGGUCUACUGGGGACUAUCUGAGUCUGAGCAGGGAGGAGAGGGCAUCCGUGUGGAGGGGCAGCCUGAUGUGAGGUCUAGAACCCAAGCAGAGUGAGGAAGACAUCCAUGCCGGAGGCAGCCAGGCAGAGGGACUCAGAGUCCAAGUGCAGCCAGUAGGAUGUCCACGUGGGGACCAGCUUGUCCUGGAGAGUCAGAGGCGGAGCUAGGGAGUCAGCAUCUCCCUGAAGAGGCAGCCUGGCAAGACGGUGUCAGACAUGAGCCGGGUCAUGAGGGCAUCUACACAGGGGCCGCUCGGCAUGCAAAGCCAGAGCCCAAGUGGAGUAAGGAGGGUGUUUGCCAGGGGUGUGGGGUGGCCUCCUGCAGGUUUCCAAACCUGAGAUAAAAGGAGAAGGCGGCCGGGAGCAAUGGCUCAUAAAGAUUUAAGACACCGUGUCAGUGGUUUGGGGCUGGUAUAAUAGAAUGCCGUAGACAUAAUGGCUUAAACAACUUAUUUUUCACAGUUCUGGAUGCUAGAGGGCCAAGAUCAGAGCAAAGCAUAGUUCGUGGUGAAGGCCCUCUUCAUGAUUAUAUCCUUACAUUGCCUUCAUUGGUAUUUGGAAAGAGAGUGAGACAGAGAGGGAAGCGGUGGGCGGAGACAAGAAAAGCAAAACAAUGUACAACAGAGGAUAUGUUAUCAUAGUACAGUACCUCACUCAGCAGAGAACAAUGUUUAUUUAGUCAUUUUAAUGAAAACACCAAAUGUAAAUUAAGCAAAACUUGCUAAAACUUUGUUGGGAGGAUGGAAAGAGGAUAAAUGUGUGUGUGCCUAUAUGACAGUUAAAUCCUCAUCUUCAAUAUUUGCCAGUCAAUUGGUAAUAUUUAAAAUGUAACAUCAGGCCAGGUGUGGUGGCUCACACUUGUAAUCCCAGCACUUUGGGAGGCCAAGGCAGGCAGAUCACCUGAGGUCAGGAGUUUGAGACCAGCCUGGCCAACAUGGUGAAACCCUGUCUCUACUAAAAAUACAAAGAUGAGCCAGGCAUGGUGAUGCCCACCUGUAAUCCCAGCCACUUAGGAGGCUGAGGUAGGAGAAUUGCUUGAACCCAGGAGACAGAGGUUCCACUGAGGCAAGAUCAUGCCACUGUACUCCAGCCUAGGUGACAGAGUGAGACCCUGUCUCAAAAAAAAAAAUUAAAAAUUAAAAAUAAAUAAAAAAAUAAAAUGUAAAAUCAGGAAAUAGCAACAUAAGUACAGCAUUUUAUUUAUUUGUAAAUCUAAUUUAUCAUUUAAUUUCUCCUUUGAUCCAUGAGUUGCAUGGAAGUAUUAGUUGACUUACUACAAUGUGGGAAUUUUUUUCUAUUUUGUUGAUUUAUGAUUUAAUUUCACCGUGAUCAGAGAGCAUACUUUAGAUUUCAAAGCCAUUAUCCUCAGCAAACUAAUGCAGGAACAAAAAACCAAACAUGGCAUGUUUUCACUUAUGAGUGGGAGUUGAACAAUGAGAACACAUUGACCCAGGGAGGGGAACAACACACACUGGGGCCUGUCGGGGGGGCUGGGAAGGGCGCGCAUCAGGAAGAACAGCUAAUGCGGGGCUUAAUACCUAGGUGAUGGGAAGAUCUGUGCAGCAAAUCACCAUGGCACAUGUUGACCUCUGUAACCAGCCUGCACAUCCUGCAUAUGUACCCUGGAACUUAAAAUAAAAGUUGAUGAAAAAAAUUUUUAAGACUUACCGUAUCUCCCUGAAUAUGCUCUAUCUUGGUGACCAUUCUAUGUGCCCUUGAAAGGAAUGUGUCUAUUCUGCUGUUGUUAGGUAUACUGCUCUGUAAUUAGAUGCAGUUGGUUGACAGUAAAUUUCAGAUCUCCAUUAUAUCCUUAUAGAUUUAUUUAUUUAUUUAUUUAUUUUGAGAUAGAGUCUCACUCUGUCG
This 2314-nucleotide long non-coding RNA is filed under the name Homo sapiens (human). RNAcentral's name for it is "HSALNT0286571". The record is from RNAcentral. Lineage: Eukaryota; Metazoa; Chordata; Mammalia; Primates; Hominidae.